Molecule: long non-coding RNA, 205 nt
Filed under: Phascolarctos cinereus (koala)
Lineage: Eukaryota; Metazoa; Chordata; Mammalia; Diprotodontia; Phascolarctidae
Description: lncRNA (ENSPCIG00000004741.2)
Source: RNAcentral
CUCCUCCAGAGUGAUGUGUCUUGGCCAGAGCCCAGACCUCCAAGAGACGAUGCCCAGGUCCUAGAAAGAAACUUUGGCUUGUGAUGUCUCCUGGCACCAUCUGGUGUUAAAGGUAAAACAAUCCCUAAAGACUCCAGGGAUCGAACUGCAGAUUCCAGGUCCAAGGGUAGGCAAGCCUCAGGCAGCAGCCAGACGUGGAGGGGCC